AGCAGCCGCGGUAAUUCCAGCUCCAAUAGCGUAUAUUAAAGUUGUUGCAGUUAAAAAGCUCGUAGUUGAAUUUCGGGAUCAGUUUGUUGGUCGUGCUUCGGUACGUACUGUCAUUACUGGUUUCUCCCUUCUGAAGAACCUUGAUGUCAUUAAUUUGGUGUCUUGGGGAAUCAGGACUGUUACUUUGAAAAAAUUAGAGUGUUUAAAGCAGGCAUACGCUUGAAUACAUUAGCAUGGAAUAAUGAAAUAGGACGUUUGAUUCUAUUUUGUUGGUUUCUAGGAUCGACGUAAUGAUUAAUAGGGAUAGUUGGGGGCAUUAGUAUUCAAUUGUCAGAGGUGAAAUUCUUGGAUUUAUUGAAGACUAACUACUGCGAAAGCAUUUGCCAAGGAUGUUUUCAUUAAUCAAGAACGAAAGUUAGGGGAUCGAAGACGAUCAGAUACCGUCGUAGUCUUAACCAUAAACUAUGCCGACUAGGGAUCGGAUGAUGUUAUUUUUAAUGACUCAUUCGGCGCCUUAAC
Molecule: ribosomal RNA, 519 nt
Filed under: uncultured Glomus
Lineage: Eukaryota; Fungi; Glomeromycota; Glomeromycetes; Glomerales; Glomeraceae
Description: SSU rRNA
Rfam family: Eukaryotic small subunit ribosomal RNA
Source: RNAcentral